ACGGUAUCAACAGAAGAAGCACCGGCUAACUACGUGCCAGCAGCCGCGGUAAUACGUAGGGUGCGAGCGUUAAUCGGAAUUACUGGGCGUAAAGGGUGCGCAGGCGGUUCUGUAAGUCAGAUGUGAAAUCCCCGGGCUUAACCUGGGAACUGCGUUUGAAACUACAGAGCUAGAGUGUGGCAGAGGGGGGUGGAAUUCCAUGUGUAGCAGUGAAAUGCGUAGAGAUAUGGAAGAACAUCGAUGGCGAAGGCAGCCCCCUGGGUCAACACUGACGCUCAUGCACGAAAGCGUGGGGAGCAAACAGGAUUAGAUACCCUGGUAGUCCACGCCCUAAACUAUGUCAACUAGUUGUCGGGCCUUAUUAGGUUUGGUAACGUAGCUAACGCGUGAAGUUGACCGCCUGGGGAGUACGGUCGCAAGAUUAAAACUCAAAGGAAUUGACGGGGG
RNAcentral lists this ribosomal RNA (447 nucleotides) under uncultured bacterium. RNAcentral's name for it is "bacterial SSU rRNA". It matches the Rfam family "Bacterial small subunit ribosomal RNA", at positions 472 to 919 of the family's 1533-position model. The record is from RNAcentral.